This 736-nucleotide non-coding RNA is filed under the name Mazarredia convexa. The record is from RNAcentral. Lineage: Eukaryota; Metazoa; Arthropoda; Insecta; Orthoptera; Tetrigidae.
GUAAAGUUUUAUUCUUGCUUUAUUUUAAUUUAUUAAUAUGCUUUAUAUACAAUUUUAUUUAUUAGAUAUUAUUUUGUAGUAAUUAGUUUUAGACAUUAAGUAAUUUUAGAUUUAGUAAUUUUUAAAGUAAAGGUUAAUGUCGUGCCAGCUGCCGCGGUUAUACGUCGUUUGCAUAAUUAAAUAUUUUGGUUGCAGUUUUGUUUUUAUAGAAUUUAUGUGUGUUAAUGUAUGGUGGAAUAGUCAUUAUUUUUUUAAUUUCUUUAUUUUUUUUUUCUGUAAUAGCUAUUUUUUAAACUGGGAUUAGAUACCCCAUUAUUUUAGAUUUAAUUAAUUUCCAGGGAAGUAUUAGUUAUUUUAUGAAAUCUAAAGAAUUUGGCGGCAUUUUAUCUUUUUAGGGGAACCUGUUCUGUAAAUGAUAAUACACGAUUUGAAUUACUAUAUUUAAGGUUUGUAUACCUCCGUUAUAAGGGUAUUUAAUAAUGAUAUAUUCUUUUCUUUUAAUAAAAUUGUAUUUCAGGUCAAGGUGCAGCUUAUAGUAUAGUUUGAAAUGGGUUACAAUAAUUAAAUUUAUAUGGAUAUUUUUUUUUAAUUUGAAAUUGAAGGUGGAUUUAUUAGUAAGUUUUUAUAAUUAUAAAUUCUGAAUUAGUUCUAUUAUGUGUACAUAUCGCCCGUCAUUCUCAUAUUUUGAGACAAGUCGUAACAUAGUAGACUUACCGGAAGGUGAGUCUGGUUUAUC